This 210-nucleotide ribosomal RNA is filed under the name uncultured Lactobacillus sp. RNAcentral's name for it is "partial 16S ribosomal RNA". It matches the Rfam family "Bacterial small subunit ribosomal RNA", at positions 152 to 354 of the family's 1533-position model. The record is from RNAcentral. Lineage: Bacteria; Bacillati; Bacillota; Bacilli; Lactobacillales; Lactobacillaceae.
GGAAACAGAUGCUAAUACCGGAUAACAACAGAUGAUGCCUAUCAACUGUUUAAAAGAUGGUUCUGCUAUCACUCUUGGAUGGACCUGCGGUGCAUUAGCUAGUUGGUAGGGUAACGGCCUACCAAGGCGAUGAUGCAUAGCCGAGUUGAGAGACUGAUCGGCCACAUUGGGACUGAGACACGGCCCAAACUCCUACGGGAGGCAGCAGAA